RNAcentral lists this ribosomal RNA (477 nucleotides) under uncultured bacterium. RNAcentral's name for it is "partial 16S ribosomal RNA". It matches the Rfam family "Bacterial small subunit ribosomal RNA", at positions 28 to 523 of the family's 1533-position model. The record is from RNAcentral.
GACGAACGCUGGCGGCAUGCCUAACACAUGCAAGUCGACCGGUAAGGCUUCCUUCGGGAAGUACACGAGUGGCGAACGGGUGAGUAACGCGUGGGUAACCUACCCUUGACCGGGGGACAACCGAGGUAACCUUCGGAUAAUACCGCAUAACGUGCAUUGCCCCUAGGUGGUGUACCCAAGCUCCGGCGGUUACGGAUGGGCCCGCGGCAGAUUAGCUUGGUGGUGAGGUCACGGCUUACCAAGGGGACGAUCUGUAACUGGUCUGAGAGGACGAUCAGGCACACUGGAACUGAGACACGGGCCAGACUCCUACGGGAGGCAGCAAGGGGGAAUCUUGCGCAAAGGGCGAAAGCCUUACGGAGCAAUGCCGCGUGAGAGAAUACGGCCUUAGGGUUGUAAACCUCUUUCAGCAGGGACGAACACAGACGGUACCUGCAGAAGAAGCCCCGGCUAACUACGUGCCAGCAGCCGCGGUAA